This 507-nucleotide ribosomal RNA is filed under the name uncultured Gluconobacter sp. RNAcentral describes it as "bacterial SSU rRNA". It matches the Rfam family "Bacterial small subunit ribosomal RNA", at positions 382 to 906 of the family's 1533-position model. The record is from RNAcentral. Lineage: Bacteria; Pseudomonadati; Pseudomonadota; Alphaproteobacteria; Acetobacterales; Acetobacteraceae.
CCUGAUCCAGCAAUGCCGCGUGUGUGAAGAAGGUCUUCGGAUUGUAAAGCACUUUCGACGGGGACGAUGAUGACGGUACCCGUAGAAGAAGCCCCGGCUAACUUCGUGCCAGCAGCCGCGGUAAUACGAAGGGGGCUAGCGUUGCUCGGAAUGACUGGGCGUAAAGGGCGCGUAGGCGGUUUGGACAGUCAGAUGUGAAAUCCCCGGGCUUAACCUGGGAACUGCAUUUGAUACGUCCAGACUAGAGUUCGAGAGAGGGUUGUGGAAUUCCCAGUGUAGAGGUGAAAUUCGUAGAUAUUGGGAAGAACACCGGUGGCGAAGGCGGCAACCUGGCUCGAUACUGACGCUGAGGCGCGAAAGCGUGGGGAGCAAACAGGAUUAGAUACCCUGGUAGUCCACGCUGUAAACGAUGUGUGCUGGAUGUUGGGUAACUUAGUUACUCAGUGUCGAAGCUAACGCGCUAAGCACACCGCCUGGGGAGUACGGCCGCAAGGUUGAAACUCAAAG